Molecule: long non-coding RNA, 314 nt
Filed under: Lonchura striata (white-rumped munia)
Lineage: Eukaryota; Metazoa; Chordata; Aves; Passeriformes; Estrildidae
Description: domestica (Bengalese finch) lncRNA (ENSLSDG00000007509.1)
Source: RNAcentral
GUGUCACCGGCCAGCUGCUAUGGUUGACAGUGCUGCGCUUGCAUCUCCGUGUCCCACAGCUGUCCACGGCUGGCCUGGCUUUCCCCUCUGAUCUAUCUGCUCAUAGCUCAGAGCCAGCCCGACUGAAGAACUGCCUGACCCAGCGCAGCACAGGGCGUGUGCGGUGGGACGGGAGCUCACUCCAUUACGAGCCGCGGGUGACAGAACGGAGCAGGGAUGCUUGGGUUCAGUUUUAUUGCUUUUGAAUAAGUCCGGGGGCUCCUGGCCACAACCCGGAGCUGAGCCAGCGCGGGGGGCUCUGCCGUAGGCGGGGG